Molecule: long non-coding RNA, 867 nt
Filed under: Homo sapiens (human)
Lineage: Eukaryota; Metazoa; Chordata; Mammalia; Primates; Hominidae
Description: non-protein coding lnc-SPG11-5:2
Source: RNAcentral
CAAGUACUGAGGAAGAGGUUGGAUAGAGAAAGUAGUAGCAGUGUUGUAGCUGUUCUGCUUUUUUUCUAUAGUGCCCUAGAGUUUCGGUUUCUUCUAGGAGGCAGUAUAACAUAGUACCUAAGGGGACAAGCUUUAGAUUUUAAAAAGACCUACGUUUGAAUUCUGGCUGUAUCACUUACUAGCAAUAUAACUUUAGGGCAAGUUCUUUCACUUCUCACUUCUCUUAGUUUGUUUCUUUAUCUACAAACUAGGGAUGAUGGUAUUAACCCCUCAUAGUUCUUAAGAUUAAAUAGGAAGGGAAAUGUGUAAAGCACUAAGCAUUGCUUGGCACGUACCAAACAUGCAAAUGUUACCUCUGAAUUGCUACCUGGGGGUGGGGGACAAUGGUAGUAGUAACGGAAAGAUAAUAAGAAACCUUGGCCCUGAGUCUGUUUCUUAAGCAAAUCUAUUUGCUUAUAUUUAUAUUUAUGCUCUCUAGGACAGACAUGGUGGUUCUGAUUGCCUGGGAGAUAGCCCAAAUGCCUACAGCCUCUCUGGCAGAACCCCUAGCUUUCCCCAGCAACCUACUUCCCCUGUUCUGUCACCACGUGGACAAACAAUUGGUUCAGCAGCUGGAGGCCAGGAUGGAGUUUGCCUGGAUUUACUGAUCUGUUUGUUCUGGAAUACGUGUAUGUGGGAAGUUGAAUCAUCAGACACUAGCUACAUAGACUAUGUUUACAGGGAUCCAGAGAGUCUGAAGACAUUUCUUAUGCCUUUAUAUAUUGGAGAACCCUUCCCCAUUUUCAUAUCCUUUCUUCAAAAAUCUAAAUGAUGUGCCUAAAAAUAAGACAUGGCAUAAUAAGGUAUAAUUAAAGAGAUAAUAGAAUG